GUAGCUGCAACUCGACUACAUGAAGCUGGAAUCGCUAGUAAUCGCGGAUCAGAAUGCCGCGGUGAAUACGUUCCCGGGCCUUGUACACACCGCCCGCCACACCAUGAGAGUUGGAAAUACCCGAAGCCUGUGAGCUAACUUUAGAGGCAGCAGUCGAAGGUAGAGCCAAUGAUUGGGGUGAAGUCGUAACAAGGUAGC
RNAcentral lists this ribosomal RNA (198 nucleotides) under uncultured bacterium. RNAcentral's name for it is "partial 16S ribosomal RNA". It matches the Rfam family "Bacterial small subunit ribosomal RNA", at positions 1300 to 1500 of the family's 1533-position model. The record is from RNAcentral.